UGAGGAAUAUUGGUCAAUGGGUGCAAGCCUGAACCAGCCAUCCCGCGUGAAGGACGACUGCCCUAUGGGUUGUAAACUUCUUUUGUAUCGGGAUAAACCUACCCUCGUGAGGGUAGCUGAAGGUACUAUACGAAUAAGCACCGGCUAACUCCGUGCCAGCAGCCGCGGUAAUACGGAGGGUGCAAGCGUUAUCCGGAUUUAUUGGGUUUAAAGGGUCCGUAGGCGGACUUAUAAGUCAGUGGUGAAAGCCUGUCGCUUAACGAUAGAACUGCCAUUGAUACUGUAAGUCUUGAGUAUAUUUGAGGUAGCUGGAAUAAGGAGUGUAGCGGUGAAAUGCAUAGAUAUUACUUAGAACACCAAUUGCGAAGGCAGGUUACCAAGAUAUAACUGACGCUGAGGGACGAAAGCGUGGGGAGCGAACA
This 422-nucleotide ribosomal RNA is filed under the name uncultured bacterium. RNAcentral describes it as "bacterial SSU rRNA". It matches the Rfam family "Bacterial small subunit ribosomal RNA", at positions 355 to 774 of the family's 1533-position model. The record is from RNAcentral.